ACGAACGCUGGCGGCGUGCUUAACCCAUGCAAGUCGAACGGAAAGGCCCUGCUUUUGUGGGGUGCUCGAGUGGCGAACGGGUGAGUAACACGUGAGUAACCUGCCCUUGACUUUGGGAUAACUUCAGGAAACUGGGGCUAAUACCGGAUAGGAGCUCCUGCUGCAUGGUGGGGGUUGGAAAGUUUCGGCGGUUGGGGAUGGACUCGCGGCUUAUCAGCUUGUUGGUGGGGUAGUGGCUUACCAAGGCUUUGACGGGUAGCCGGCCUGAGAGGGUGACCGGCCACAUUGGGACUGAGAUACGGCCCAGACUCCAACGGGAGGCAGCAGUGGGGAAUAUUGCACAAUGGGCGGAAGCCUGAUGCAGCAACGCCGCGUGCGGGAUGACGGCCUUCGGGUUGUAAACCGCUUUCGCCUGUGACGAAGCGUGAGUGACGGUAAUGGGUAAAGAAGCACCGGCUAACUACGUG
Molecule: ribosomal RNA, 467 nt
Filed under: uncultured bacterium
Lineage: Bacteria
Description: partial 16S ribosomal RNA
Rfam family: Bacterial small subunit ribosomal RNA
Source: RNAcentral